Molecule: ribosomal RNA, 110 nt
Filed under: Caerostris darwini
Lineage: Eukaryota; Metazoa; Arthropoda; Arachnida; Araneae; Araneidae
Source: RNAcentral
AACGGUCAUACCAUGCUGAAUAUACCGGUUCUCGUUAGAUCACCGAAGUCAAGCAUCAUUGGGCGCGGUCAGUACUUGGGUGGGUGACCACCUGGGAACACCGCGUGCAG